AGGGAGGGCCUGUGUACUCCGGUGGAUCAAAGCAAGUUCAAUAUAACGCGGUUUCACCUAUAAUGCGUAAGAUUUUUUUUGGCUCCCGAGGUCAGCGUUAUAUCGGGGUAGAGGUGUAGUUCAUAUUGCUUUUUUGUUUUUUAGUGGGUGAGUGGGCAGUGUACAAAGGACUUCCUGAGGAAGAGCCAAGUCAAAGAGAUUGGGCUGUACCCCUGUACCCAAAAUGGCUGUACCCCUGAUUUGCCGAGGCUUGGAACAACAAUCAAAUGAUCGAUCCAUUUCACUACACAUCCAUAGCCUCUUUCAGGCCACAUAUCCCUGAAGUCUCUGUAUAUAAUGCUAUGGUUGCAGCUGAAUUUUGUGAUGACAGAAAACUGAAAUGCUCAGCUCGGUUUAUCCCCCUUUCCGAAAAACAAAAAAACCUUCACAGCAGACUCUUCCUCCUUCAACACUUAUGGUCAGUGACAUUCCCCUUGUUGAGAUCUGCUCAACUCCCAAUGUGCCUUUUACGAAGUGGAAUUUACUUUAUGUACUAAAAAAGGCAUAUGGCCAAAACUCCUUGUGUUGAAUUUUUUACGGUGUGAAUACUGAGUGGAGGAAUGGCAUUGCAACUGCUUUCCAGGGCGAGUUUAUCUUUAGCGUUUUGUUUUAUCCUGAGGCACUGACCUUUCUAUUAUCAGUUUCUCUGAAGGCAAGCAGUACAACAAUGUCUUGUCUGUAUCAGCUUGUUUAUGUUUUAUAUGUGGCUCAAAGUUCUGCCAGAACUUCGUGUCAUUUUCCUGGCUAUGUCUACGUUCUGCCUGCGAUAUGCUAAUUAUUGGGAUGUGACAGAGCACUUAUUCCUUAUCAUAAAUCAGAGUCUGUUAUCCAAGAAUUAAACUUGUUUUCAGUCCUCAAAGGAUGUAACCAUAUGAAAUAGUCUCUAAGGGACAGAUCCUGAUCCUAUUGGAGUCAGUGGACAUUUUACUAUUGUCUUUAUGAUGGGAUCAAUGUUGAACCCAAUAUAAUGAAACAGAAUGGAAUUACAGUGUCUGUUUUAGAAAUUAUUAUUAUUUUUCAAGGAAACAUUUCCCUGGAGUACUGUGAGCACUAGAAAGUGAAACUGCAAUGGCGAUUUACAGCAGCUGAACAUCUACUUUUAAGAUAUUAUAAGUAAGGACAUUAACAAAUUAGAAAGCCACAUCCUCAGUAGGGGUAAAUCAGUGUAGCUCCACUAAUUUCAGUGACGGUAUGAAGGUUUAUAUUAACUGGCCCAGAGUUUUAAAUUGACAUUGUCUCACUUUGAAAAUCCAGACUGCACUAUUAACCCACUCACAGUAGGGAGGAUUUGAGAGGAAGGAAAGAAAAGGAAACAUAUUGUAGAAUAUGGAGAUGUCCUUUAUUACCUCACUAAGAUGCUAGCAGCACAUAGUUAGCUCACAUGACUUAAUUUACCAGGAAAAUAUUUCGUCUGCAGGAGAAAGGAUAAUGCAGUGUUUCUGCUUAACCAUCAUGAACCUUCACUAGAAUAUCAGGAGUACAGUUUUACAGUAAAAUCAACCUAAAGAAAAGUAAAACUGACUGCAGCCUUCAUCCCAGCCAACAAUUCUUAAACACAGCUGUUGAGAUGAUUGACUAUUGCAUUUGCUUAUACUUAUUAUCAUAGCCUUCAGUCAUUGUCAUAUCAGUGUUUUGUAUUUUUAUGGGCUGAUGGCCAUUUCCUCCUUUUCCACCAUGGGAGAGACUAUAAAACUAAAGGACAAGCAAAAGAGUUACUGUAGUUAGUCCAACAGUAAUAGAUUGAAAAACCUGCACUGCUCAGAAUACGUGAAGUAUAUUAUUGUGGACACUCCAGCUCUUAUAACAAAAUGGCUACAAGAACAAAACACAGCAACAUAACACGUUCACUUGAUAAUUAUAAAAGGGCCAGAAAGCAAUGCAAACUGAAUUCGUCUUCAUUAAAACCAGGAAUCUCCAUGUACAAUCCCAAAUCCCGCUCCCUUUUCUGCUGUUCCCCGCCCCCCGGCAAAAAAGUUUUGAAUGUCUUAUUUUAUAUUUAGUGUGGAGUUCUUUCCUUGAGCAUUGUAAAUGAAACCUCUAAAGGUUUGUGAGAAACUUUUGUGGUUCUGCUCUCCUAUAAAUCCCAUAAUUUAUUAGCUUCUUGCACCUGUCAUGCUCCACAUUUCUUGCACAGUCGGAAUACAGCCCCUUCGAUCAGUCAUCCUCCCUCUAUAACUGGAAAGAGAGAAAGUUACAUGUGUCAAUUAAGCCGUCACUGCAUCUUUGAUCUUUUUUAGUUACUCUUUAUUUAAAUAAUCAUUUCCAAUUGCUUUACCUGAUGUGGCAUAGCUUGAAAAUGUAGCAACAUGCUUUAAUUUUUAAUAAACACUGAGCCUGCUUCUCCUCUUGCA
Chrysemys picta bellii (western painted turtle) is the source of this 2390-nucleotide long non-coding RNA. Lineage: Eukaryota; Metazoa; Chordata; Testudines; Emydidae. The record is from Ensembl.